Molecule: ribosomal RNA, 371 nt
Filed under: uncultured organism
Description: bacterial SSU rRNA
Rfam family: Bacterial small subunit ribosomal RNA
Source: RNAcentral
CGAAGGGGGCUAGCGUUGUUCGGAAUUACUGGGCGUAAAGGGCGCGUAGGCGGUGUGUCAAGUCAGGCGUGAAAGCCCCGGGCUCAACCUGGGAACCGCGCUUGAGACUGGCACGCUCGAGUUCGGGAGAGGAUGGUGGAAUUCCCAGUGUAGAGGUGAAAUUCGUAGAUAUUGGGAAGAACACCGAUGGCGAAGGCAGCCAUCUGGACCGACACUGACGCUGAGGCGCGAAAGCGUGGGGAGCAAACAGGAUUAGAUACCCUGGUAGUCCACGCCGUAAACGAUGAGUGCUAGACGUCGGGGCUCUUGGAGCUUCGGUGUCGCAGCUAACGCAUUAAGCACUCCGCCUGGGGAGUACGGCCGCAAGGUUA